Molecule: non-coding RNA, 56 nt
Organism: Callithrix jacchus (white-tufted-ear marmoset)
Lineage: Eukaryota; Metazoa; Chordata; Mammalia; Primates; Cebidae
Source: Rfam
UUAUUAGUGUAAGUAUGUCCCAUGGAAUAUUUGGGACAUAUUUACUUAUACUAAAA